RNAcentral lists this ribosomal RNA (320 nucleotides) under uncultured Prevotella sp. RNAcentral's name for it is "partial 16S ribosomal RNA". The record is from RNAcentral. Lineage: Bacteria; Pseudomonadati; Bacteroidota; Bacteroidia; Bacteroidales; Prevotellaceae.
GGAGUUUGGUCCGUGUCUCAGUACCAAUGUGGGGGACCUUCCUCUCAGAACCCCUACUGAUCGCAGGCUUGGUGGGCCGUUACCCCGCCAACAACCUAAUCAGACGCAUCCCCAUCCCAUAGCGGUGAACCUUUGGUAUUCUUCUGAUGGCAUCGGAAUACAACAUAGAGCAUUAAUCCGACUUUCGCCGGGCUAUUCUCUACUAUGGGGAAGGUUGGAUACGCGUUACUCACCCGUGCGCCGGUCGCCAUCAAUCAAAGCAAGCUUUGAUCAUGCUGCCCCUCGACUUACAUGUGUUAAGCCUGUAGCUAGCGUUCAUC